Molecule: small nucleolar RNA, 130 nt
Organism: Meriones unguiculatus (Mongolian gerbil)
Lineage: Eukaryota; Metazoa; Chordata; Mammalia; Rodentia; Muridae
Source: Ensembl
GGGGUGUGCUCAGAGCAGGGAAUCUAGAGAAUGGCUCCUCUGUUUAUAACACACCCAAUAGGAAUCUGGUCAUUGUGUGAGGAGGGUUACAAAAUAUGUUGCCUUCCUCUGAAAAAAAUGUUCUACACAU